UGAGAAACUAAAGCUUGGGGGUAGAUCUUCAGCGAGAGUAACUCACCCUGCUUGCUGUACAACACACUGCAGGCAGAAAGCAUCUUCCAGGGAACAUGCAGCACACAGAAAGGUUCAUUUCUCAGCUUGAACAAAGUGAGGAAGAAAGAUGCCUUUGCAACAUCAGCAAACAGAGAGAAUGAACAAAACAUCCCUGACUGAGUAAGAUGCGCGUCCUGUUCCCAUCCUUGAAACCAGUGGCAAACCUCAAGUUGAUUUCAGUGGGACCUGACUCCAGCUCACACAGUUUAUGCUGUUUUAAAGAACUAUGAAGAUGUUUCUGCUGUUUGUUCUUAGGUAAGCUCUUACACCUAAAGCAAUACAAAAACUCUGGGAUGAAAGGGUGAUAUGGAGAGCUUAACAUUUAAACACCUUUAAUAAAUGUGUUUGUUUUCUUAUUUUGAUGUGGCAGUAAGUACUUCUGUGUGUCACCCAUUGCCGUAACAUCUGGGCAUCUCAUAACAUUCAGAAGGAGUCAUGUUCAGAUGCCUGCUUCUAUCUCUACAAGGCACGCAGAUUUGUAUGAGCAGAAAUGGUGACUUUUCCUGAACUGUUUGGUCACAUAAUACGGCCAAGAUCUUCCUCAUUAUCCUGCUCUUUUUACACAUAAACGAUCCAAACCUGCAAAAUAAAUCACUUCUUCUCAGUCACUGUAUAAGCCCCGUCUUAUAGGUAUGUUCUCCAUCUCAUUUCUUCCUUGAGCCACCAGGAAUGAAACAAAUCUUGGCUCCAAGGCUGCAGGAAGAGUUGUCUUGCUGAACAAGAUCUGGUAAAAUCAGCAGCUGACCUCAGCCAAACCUGAAGUCCCCACUCUGCCAGAGCUAACACAGACCUCAUGGUGGAGCUCAGCUCCCCCAGUGCCUCAUUUCUCACCCAACAUCCUCUGUCUUUUCCUUUCCAUGGCCCAGAAAUGUGUACGUUCAUGGCCAGAGGUGAGCCCCUCCAAAGGGAACAUGUUGCAUUUUAUUAAAAUACCAUGAAGCUAAACUCAGCUCCAAACAAACAUUUUCAGCUCAACAUCAGCUCCAUGGGAGUGAGCAGGACGCUGGGUUUGGAGAGGUAGGUUGUUAUUAGUAUUGCACACACAUCUCAGCUAUACAAAGCACACAGAAUUAUUUAUAACACUUAACCUCUCUAGAAUCUAUCACGUGCCUGAAAAACUAAUAAUUCUAUAACUUAAGCUAAACAGAGCACUAUUCAGUUGUAAAUUUUAUGGCUAGUAUCUCCACCUCUUAUGAAGUGUGAAAAGAGGCUUCGGAUCUGUCAGUCUUUUCUCAGAAAUGACUUUCGCUGAUUACUUAAACUUUCGUUAAAUAAGCUUUCCACAAGCUGUAAAAACAGAACACAGUGGGGAAAAAAUUGGCUCUCUUUUAAAAGUGCUGUAAAGUCUCUUUUUGAAUGAGUAAUUAGAAAUGUGUAAACUCUUUUAUGGAUAUGUGAGAAGCACACACAAAAAAAUGUGACAUUCCAUGCAAGUAUUUCUGUGUGCUAUCAAAUUUCAUUGUAUUUCACAGAGACCAAAACUAUACAGGCCCAAAAUACACAUACAUUAGUGGACAUGGGUUAUUUGCCAAGAAUGAAUUUACAUACAGUACAAGUAAAACAUCCUAAUUUAAAUCUACGACAAUGGAUACUCACAUUCUUAAAGAGAAAUCAGAGUUGUUUGUCUUUCCACUCAUAUUUAUACAGAUUGCAAAGCUGUUGACAGAGCAUGAUUUGAGCUGGGCCUUUCCAACUGCUUACUGUUAUUUUUAUUGCCAUUGUCAGCUAUCUUUUUCAUAUCAAGAAUGAAGCUUGGAUGAAGAUGCUCUGAUUUUUCAAAGCCAUAAACAAAUAAAAGGAGACACCACGUCACACAGGAGCCGGGCACCAAGUGGGCAGUGGGGAAACCUACUGCUGGCCAUCAUCCCCCAAAAAUCUCCCUAAAAAGUCUCAGUUAAACCCAUACACCUUCUUGUCUUCAUUUCCUUUCAAGCCAUGGCUGUUCUGCGUCUUUACAGGGAUGCUUUGUAAGACAGAGGCAUGGUCAUUGCAUGGGACCAUGUCCUCAGCUGCAGCUCCUCAUGAUCUAUGAAUACUUUUCAGAGCCUUGCUGCAUGAAAUCCCUGCAAUACUAGAAAUAUUAGAUAAUAAAUAGCAAAGCCGCAGUGUUUGUGCUCUUUUAAAGUAGGAUGCACAGAUAGGACCGCAUGGUGAGUCACGCACCGCCCAGAAAUACAGAGCUCUCAGGGUGUGCACUUGGGUAUUUCUGUGGUUUUCGGCCCAGAUGAGCAUCCUGACCCCAAACCAAACUCUGCAGAUUCACCACAACGCCUUUAUACCAUCAGUGUUUUAGGGCAACCUCUAUUCCUCACCUUAAAACUCUGACAUCAAUCAUGCUGAGAAAAUAACUUUGCCUUCGGACAGGGAGGCAAGUCUUUUAUUGUAAAAAUAAGUAAAAGAAUUCCAUAUCUUUGCAAGGCCAGAUGAGCACUACCCAACCAAAAACACCUGCCUCCCCCAUACAGGUCAGAUUGGGGCCCCAUCCCCCCAGGAUAGCUGAGCAUGACCCCCUCAGGCUGGUGGGAUGCUCUCUUGAAAAGCUGGUGGACACCAUGCUGUGUACACGCACUGUGCACUAUAAAUAGUAAUGUCUUCUGUGCUGCUCUCCAUGGAAAAGCCGGCAGGAGGGGAAAUAGUCUCAAAUCUGUGUCGUUUUCAAGCUAAAGAGAGCCAGACUCAUUCUCUCCUCAGUGGGGAAGCUGUAGGUAGGGGGUAUGCCCCUGUAACCCUGUGGAGGCUGAACAGCCAGAGGAGGAAGCAGGUUCCAGCUAUCAUAAUGCAGGCUGCACUGACUGACCAGGCUCCUCGCUCCCAAAAAUGACUCAGGGCACAAAGUGCAUAGACCAUAGAGCAGCUGUUCCCCAAUUCUCCUUUAUCUAGAAGAUAUCAGCACCCUCAUUUUAUUCUCUCAUCCCCAGGAGCACAAUUAAGUCCCCAUCUGCAAAGUCCAACAGUGAUGCUGGCAGAGCAUGGUGCCCCCCACUCCUGCUCUGAGUGCACUGCUGGCACAGUGUUCGCUGCAAUGUUACACAGCCACCCACAGCACGGCUGCUAGGACAAAAGCAUGCAAAAGGAAAAGGCUUCACACAUCUUUAGUGUGGAGAAUGUAUUUACUGCUCCCACAAGCUAUUAGAUGGGGUGAUAUGGGCAAUUUAUUGUUUUGUCAAUAUCUUUUAUUUUGAUUUAAUAACUUACAAAAACUAGAGUCUAUCAGCAGCGCAGCCGCAACUUUUGCUAUACAACCCCACUUAACUUUCAAACACUUUAACUUUCAGGUCAAAUCUCUGUCACGUUGAUAAAUGGAUCUAUUUAAAUUUUUAUCACCGAAGAAUUCUCUCUGGUGUCUCAUUCACUAUCAGAUUUCAUGCACAAAAUAACAGGAUACUUAUUAUUUUUUGUUAUCCACCACAAAAAGAAAAAGAAAAAAGAAAAAGCAUGGAUGUCACUGUGAAAUGCCUGUAAUUUGUCUGGGGAUGCACAUGUGAAGAUCUUGCAUUUAUACAGGGAGCAUAUCAUCUGUAUUGAUUAUUAGCUUACAACAGAGAUGUACCAAGUCUCACUUGAAGCUAUGUUGUUGCUCUUUCUUGUACACUUUAGCAUUCACAUUAUGGAUGUCCUGCAAAGCUGCAAACAUUCCAUAUGGGAAGAAAUACAAUAUUUCUGUGAAUAAUAUGCAAAAACUUUGGGCAGAAAAGCCUACUAUAGGAUAUAUACACUAACCACAAGCUAUUCACAGAAUCACAGAAUUGUAGGGGUUAGAAGAGGCCUCUGGAGAUCAUCAAGUCCAACCCCAAAUCCCUGAGUUAAGAAGGAAACAUCAAAGAGUUCUAUGCUCACCCUCACGAGGCAUUGCCAUACAGUGCUUAGAAGGGUGUUUAAUCUCAUUUGGCCAUCUGACUAUUACUUCAUUAAGCAAACUAAGAGAAACAGCUACAAAGUCAACACAUUUUAGGUAUUAUUGUAAAUAAUCACCUGGUUUUCCUGCCAAUAAUCAAGACCAAAAAUAUAAUCCGAAUAGCACCAACUAUGCUAUAUAUAUUUAACCUUUACUUUAAAAUGGCAUUAAACAUUGAAGACUGUGGCUACUGUAAAGAUAGUAAAAACAGAUAUCGGAGGAAUAGAACAGUGUUUAAUGACAAGUUACAAAGGGUUCUACUGAGAGAAAAGCAAGAGCAAGAGAGGUUAAACAAACAGAAACCACAGUGUUCCAAUUUCACAUUAACUUUCAAUAGCUAGAAAGUAAAAUCUAUACUAUAUAUGAUUCGAUUUCCCCGAUUUGUGCGUUAAAUAUUUACUUCUAACCAUAAACUUAUGUGAGACCCAAACAAAAACUAAUUUGCAUUAUUAAUGAUGCAAGAAAUGUGAUGCUUAGUCUCUUAAGAUUUGUAAUAAAGAAGGAAAUAUGCUCAAGAUUUACUUUCUCUUUUUCAUUUUACAAGGCAAGUUUAAAUGAUAAAACUUAUUUAAUUAACAGAGACUCUAUUUAUGAAUUAGUUGUUCCUGCCAGAAAGAAUGUUUAAAAAAAAAAAAAAAAAGAAAAAGGAAAAAAAACUGUCUGAAAUGAGGCUGAGACUACAAAGAGUCCAUUUUCAGCUUCAGAGUCUCAUGGGAAAAAUCAAAGGGUUUCUUUCUUUCAACAGUUUGGGUGAGAUGAUAUUUUGAGAUGUUGACAGCUGCCAAACUGCAAAACCAGUGAAGAACUACCAAACUGAAAUCGUUUUUAUCUUUUUGAAUUUCCUCAGUAUUCAACUCAACUUCCUUUUACAUCUCACGGCUGAAAUUUCAACACCAGUGAAAGGUUUUUUCCUGCUUCGACGCUUGCGAUACCACCAUGGUCCAAAGAUGAACCCCCUCUCUUCUAAAAUUAAACAUAAGUAACACAGUACCACUAUUGACGACUAUUAGCAGUCUUCUAUUAUUAUUGUUGUUUUCAAGGGUGACACUUCAGCCCCUGAUCUAUGAUCAAAGUGCCACUGGGAAGGCAGCUCGCACAUAUAACAGAUGAGGUAGUACCUGAGCCAGGGAGCACUAUUUAGAGCCACAAGCCCAACAUGCGCGACUGCAGGAGGAGCCCAGCCCCCUUGGGGAGCCCAGUUGGCCUCUUAUUCCUCCUCCAUGUGCUAAGUGGCGCAAGAUCAAGACCUAAAAUCAUAUACUUUCAAGUAGAAAUAAAGUAAUGCUUUAAUUGACAAUUACGUGCUCAGUGUGAAACCAUGUUUCAAUGGUUAAUCAUCAUCAUCUAUCUCUAUGACACUGAAUGUUUUCACUAUGUUCACUUACGAGAUAUUCAUAAGACAGAAGAUUUUUCUCUAAAAAAAAAAAUUAAAAAAUCAAGCAGAAGUUAAAGCCUGCAUUUAUAGCUUGUCUUCUUUCUGGUAGAAGCUUUUUAGAAGAUACAAAACAAACCGUUUGUAAGUAAAUAAAUAAUUAUUAAUAAUAAUGCCUUCAACACAGCUUUAUUAUUCCCUUUCCUUUUCUUUGCUAAAUCCUGCUUCCGCUAGUAAAAUCAUCCCUUCUUUUCAAACUCCUUCACCUCUGUUAGUCUCAUCACCAACCCAGUGCUGGCUUCUCAGCUUCAGACAUCUGCUCCAGCUCCUGCUUUCCUCACCACAUACUCAUUAACUAAAUCAUCUCUUUCCUCUGAUUCAUUGUUUGAGCCAUCAGCCUGAGGAACAACUUCUCUUCAGCCCCUUCCCACUAAUGCCAGCUCCCACAGCACUGAAUUGGAGACACUUGGAUGAAUGUGCAAGCUACCUCGUGCCACCCAGGAACAGCAGGAUGCGGCCCAUGCAUACCCCAUCCCAUUUCAAGUUUGUUUGCUGAGGAAAGUCCAGAAACACCCAACAAGAAAGAAGAUCAUUGUGUCUCUGUCUGCACUCUCUAAGGGUACCAGUACAACCUGAAGGAGCUUGGCACAUUCAUAUCUACUGUAUGUUUGUAGUUUACUCUUGCUCACUAAGAACAUGUAUGACUACAGAUGAAAACUGGAGAAGUAAAACAAAGAAUGGGCCAUAAAGUAUUUUCAGCUUCCUGCAAAACAAGUUGAUGUUACUCUGGAAGAUGAUGGUUUUGAUGCAGCCGUGACUCAAAUUGAGCUUUAUCAAUUGCCAUUUAUGACUAAACUUCAGAACACAAUGUUGUUUCCAUGCCAUUUGCCAGAGUAGGAUAUCUAUUGUAAUGGGAUGGAGAAACUGUUUUUUAAUUCGCAAAACUCUUUGUGUUGAUGCAAUCAGCUGCAGAUUUCAGUAAGUUACUAGUUGAGAGUGAAUCAUCACUCUUACAGAAAGGAUUUAUUCCCCUAUUUCUUUAGAUGCUCACCUUCAGAAAAGGCAGGUGUGUGCCAGCAGCACUGAGCCCCAGCACUCACCACCCAGCCCUGCAAAACUAACAUUAUACUGAAAUAAAUAGGUACCAUUCUGCUGUUAUCAAAUCUGCCUUCUGCCUCACUGUAUGGGAAAUCCUGAGUCAUGCUAAUGGCUGAGACUGAGCACAUGUAAUGUGUGCUAGCAUUUCUUGUGGCCAGUUAAAAAUCAUAUAAUACACCGCAGGUUUAAAACAGAAUUUGAACACGUCAAGUCUCAUAACUUCCAAGAAAGCAAAUUUACCAUAAAAAAUAAUAGUUUCCACUCACUAGAUUUUAUAUUCAGGUCUCUGGCACAGAAUCUCGCCACCAAAGAAAUCUUUUAUGCAAGCACAUAAUCAGCGGAAGCCUUCAUUUUCGUUGCGGUUAGAUUUAAUGUGAUAAUGAAUAUUCCAGUGUCAGCUCUGGGUAAACUGAUGGGAUUUCACCUCAGAUACCCUCCUCCAAAUACCGCACGCAGGCACAUGCUUGCUGAGUGGUAAAUAAUUUAGCAGCAACAGCACAAGGACACCUGAGAUGUAUUCAUAAUGCAGAUGUACCUUGCUCAUAUACUGUCCUGUUUCUGGUCUUGUAAACAGCAUCCAUAGCACAGCAAAGAGAGUAAAGGGUCAUUACCUAUUAAUGCCCACCCCUUACAGCUGAGAGCAAAUGAAAGAAAGCCCCACAUAUACAGCCCUGUUAGGCACACGGUGUCACCGUAUUUUACUCUCAUGACCUAAUCAAGGCUGUCUACAGUAAGCUGCUUCCCAACAUAUUUUUAAGGAGUUGUUAUUUCCUUGUUUUUUUCACCUAUUUUGCAGUUGUUUGGCUGACAUUUUUCCUCUCGUUCUUUUUCUUCCAAGUUUCAAGUUUCCAGUCCAACACCACACACCACCUCUUUCUCUACUGCUGUUAACACUAUGGAGAUCAAACAAACACAAAAGUGUUUUCUGAAAAAAUAAUCAUUAAGCAUAUCAUGUGGUUUAGUUCCAGUGACAGCUGAAUAUUUGUUUCAUUAAUAAGUAAUUUGCAAUUAGUUCAUGGAAUCAUUUCUAAAAGAACAUUGUGAUGUUUCCAUGGAUUUAAGAGGCAAAACACUAGUCGUUUUUUGACAAAGUUUCAGUACAAAUUGCUCACGUGCAUCUACUGGUAAAAAUCCAACCUCUGCUGAGGUUGUUCCCUUGAUCUGGAAUCAUCGCUCCCAUCAGUGCUGGUGGGGAGACACAGUAUGCAAAUAAUUGCUGUACUCAGGAUUUGCAUUACAGCUGCAUGGUUGCUCCCACUGCUUCAUUCAAAUUAUUAUUAUUAAUGAAAUUACUAAGCUUAAGGUUUUUGUUUUCAUGUAACAUUCAUAAACAACUCUUCUCCAAAGAAUAAUACAAAAUAUCCACUGCAAAUUGCUAGAUCAACCUGUUUACACUUAAAAGGCUGGGCAUACAAGGGCCAAAUCCUCAAAUCUACUAGGAUCAACUUCUGUCCAGGAUGUGAUGUCCAUUCACUUUGACUUUUUAUUUUCAAGUAUUGAAUAGCAGCCUACUGUCUGUCACAGUAUUCUUUCUAACCUUAGACUGGCUCAAUUUUUGAAUAAACAACACAAGAAAAUGUUUUCAGCCCUGGAUACCAAAGCCACUUACACUCUGAACUCCAGGACUUGAUCACAGUAUUAUUUAGAUUGCAAAAGACCCUUCCAUACCUGGCCCACAAAGACUAAUUUCUAAGCCACAGAAACAAUUACAGUUGUUGCUGUAUCACCUUCUCAAUAACCUUUCCCCAAAACUGUAGAUUACAGAGUUGUCUGCAAUCAUUAAUUGCCUGAAGGAGAGAGAGAUAGCACCAAGCAACAAACCUUUAAUCAACAGAGAGCUCUGCAGAAAAGAAAAAUAAGUCCUUAGCAAGCAAGUUGCAAUGUUGUCGUGUUCUUUGUUUGUUUGUUUAAAUCCCUCUACAAAUACGUGAU
Long non-coding RNA from Coturnix japonica (Japanese quail), 8378 nucleotides. RefSeq lists it as uncharacterized. NCBI's taxonomy places the organism in Eukaryota, Metazoa, Chordata, Aves, Galliformes, Phasianidae. The record is from RefSeq and is a predicted model, not a curated record.